RNAcentral lists this ribosomal RNA (496 nucleotides) under uncultured bacterium. RNAcentral describes it as "partial 16S ribosomal RNA". It matches the Rfam family "Bacterial small subunit ribosomal RNA", at positions 28 to 506 of the family's 1533-position model. The record is from RNAcentral.
GAUGAACGCUGGCGGCGUGCCUAAUACAUGCAAGUCGAGCGAACGGACGAGAAGCUUGCUUUUCUGAUGUUAGCGGCGGACGGGUGAGUAACACGUGGAUAACCUACCUAUAAGACUGGGAUAACUUCGGGAAACCGGAGCUAAUACCGGAUAAUAUUUUGAACCGCAUGGUUCAAAAGUGAAAGACGGUCUUGCUGUCACUUAUAGAUGGAUCCGCGCUGCAUUAGCUAGUUGGUAAGGUAACGGCUUACCAAGGCAACGAUGCAUAGCCAACCUGAGAGGGUGAUCCGCCACACUGGAACGUAGGCACGGUCCAGAGUCCUACGGAAGGCAGCAGUAGGGAAUCUUCCGCAAUGGGCGAGAGCCUGACGGAGCAACGCCGCGUGAGUGAUGAAGGGCUUCGGAUCGUAAAACUCUGUUAUUAGGGAAGAACAUAUGUGUAAGUAACUGUGCACAUCUUGACGGAACCUAUACAGAAAGCCACGGCUAACUACGU